AUUCUGCAUCAGAGUGAUAAGAGCACCAUCGUCAUAUUACAAUAAAAAUACAGGAACAAAGUAUCCAUCCACACAGUCGUGUAAAUAGAGCCCAUUGAACCGGUGUUUUCUGAUUCCACUCAGUUAGGCACCUGAUUGAAAUAUUGGAAAGUAUUUGUAGAAUUAAGUGACAUCGAUUGUCCGUUUUCGAGGCCUACCGCGUGCCGGCGUCUUCAGUGGGAGGUGUUGUAUCUUUGGGCGCCCUGUAUUUUUUGUAUCACUACUGCUCAAAUUAAAUUGUUCAAAGUCCCUCCAGUUUUCCCGGAGAAUAUGGCCCUCUGCUUGCUUACUUGUGGUGCUGCUGUUGCUGCAACUAUUGGCACCAUAUAUUUGCUGCGGAUUACUUGUUGUAUAAAUUCCCAGCGGACCGACUCCAGCAUACACCACAACCAGGUAAGUAAUCUCACGACCGAUGCAGCUGGGCGAACCAACCCUACUGGUGACGAGCAUACCUAUUUACUAGUGAACAAUCAAAACAUGCAUAGCUAAGAUCUCGUUGUGUCGGAUCGGAUGGAGUCUUAACAUACCCAAGCCGGAUUUCUAUACGAAACAGCUUCCGAAAGUCACGAGCUGUAAUAAAAUCCUAUGUGUCUUCCGAGGCCAUAAUGGCACAUUUUUCCGUCAGUCAAUGUGAGCUGGAAAUACAAUAAUGAUUUAACUAUA
Long non-coding RNA from Aedes albopictus (Asian tiger mosquito), 702 nucleotides. RefSeq lists it as uncharacterized. The record is from RefSeq and is a predicted model, not a curated record. The transcript is spliced from 4 exons. NCBI's taxonomy places the organism in Eukaryota, Metazoa, Arthropoda, Insecta, Diptera, Culicidae.